Molecule: ribosomal RNA, 253 nt
Filed under: uncultured bacterium
Lineage: Bacteria
Description: partial 16S ribosomal RNA
Rfam family: Bacterial small subunit ribosomal RNA
Source: RNAcentral
GACGAACCGUGCGAACGUUGUUCGGAAUCACUGGGCUUAAAGGGCGCGUAGGCGGCAGAUCAAGUCCGGGGUGAAAUCCUCCAGCUCAACUGGAGAAGUGCCUUGGAUACUGAUUUGCUCGAGGGAGGUAGGGGCCCGCGGAACUUCUGGUGGAGCGGUGAAAUGCGUUGAUAUCAGAAGGAACGCCGGUGGCGAAAGCGGCGGGCUGGAUCUCUACUGACGCUGAGGCGCGAAAGCUAGGGGAGCAAACGGG